GUACGGGAGGCAGCAGUGGGGAAUUUUGGACAAUGGGCGCAAGCCUGAUCCAGCCAUGCCGCGUGAGUGAAGAAGGCCUUCGGGUUGUAAAGCUCUUUCAGACGGAAAGAAACGGUCACGGCUAAUAACUGUGGCUAAUGACGGUACCGUAAGAAGAAGCACCGGCUAACUACGUGCCAGCAGCCGCGGUAAUACGUAGGGUGCGAGCGUUAAUCGGAAUUACUGGGCGUAAAGCGUGCGCAGGCGGUUUCGUAAGACAGAUGUGAAAUCCCCGGGCUUAACCUGGGAACUGCAUUUGUGACUGCGAGACUAGAGUGUAGCAGAGGGGGGUAGAAUUCCACGUGUAGCAGUGAAAUGCGUAGAGAUGUGGAGGAAUACCGAUGGCGAAGGCAGCCCCCUGGGCUAACACUGACGCUCAUGCACGAAAGCGUGGGGAGCAAACAGGAUUAGAUACCCCGGUAGC
This 463-nucleotide ribosomal RNA is filed under the name uncultured bacterium. RNAcentral's name for it is "bacterial SSU rRNA". It matches the Rfam family "Bacterial small subunit ribosomal RNA", at positions 339 to 794 of the family's 1533-position model. The record is from RNAcentral.